AGGCAAAGCUUUUCUUCUCAGCAGGAUGGGUGCUUUCACAGCCUGUGAUGUCCCUGACUUUCUCCUUUGUGGAAUGAUGACAUUGUCACACCAUGUCACCUUCUGCCCCAGAUGAGCUCGUUUGGUUUCAGCAACCACUAAAGACCUUCACAACAGACUUGGAGUGCUGGGAAAUGGAGAUCAUGGAUAUUAAACUACAUGUUGGUAACACUGGGACAGAAUCUGAGAGUCCUGACACACUGAACCAGAUUCCCAAGGGAUUUGCUCCACAGACUACAGAAGAUAAAGCAGCCAAGUAACGGACCAAAGAUUACCAAACCAAUGAAUCACAAUGCCCAGCUCUCUCUGGUUUAACAUUAAUUAAUUAUUGUGUGUACAGUGGUAAUGAUUAAACAUAAUUGGAGCACUUGUACAAGGGAAUAUACUGUAGACUACUAAUUAAAAUCCUCUCUGAGGAAAACAGGGACAAAGACUAGAUCACAGUAAUCAGCAGGCUUCUGAUUAAAGAGCAAAGGCAGCUUGGAAAUUAUUAAUUUCAGGUUGGCAUCCAGUCAAAGCAAUCCAAAGGAGAAAGAAACUUCGAGGAAAGCAGUGAAGAAAGAGAAUGAACCGUGGAGACACCAAGGACACUGAUCAGGCAGGUCUCAAUGAAACUGAUUUCUGAGUGUCUCCUGUGCACCACUGAGAAAAGCAAGGAGCUGCCCACAGUGAAUAGGAUCACCUCUGAGCAGUAUCUUGUUCCCCCAUUGAUGUCACAGAGCACAUUCUCCAUUUCUCCAAACUUGUCUGGUAAAGCCAGUAGCAACAUGUUAAACCUUCUCAACAGAAUGUAUGUAUGCAUCUGUUUUCUUUUCCAAGGUAAAGGUGCCAUCAAAAGAGUAAGUUAUGCAAGAGAUGUUUUGAAUGGUGUAGCAAGGUACUGCUGUAAAUUAUUCAAUUUACCAGGCUUUUUGGUGUUGGAAGCUGGUACUUGGGAAUGUGAUGUUCACUAAGAUGGUGAAUCACUGGAGUUUAUGCAACAAGUGUCUUACAUAACACCUUGCCUGCUUUUUUAAUGCAAGUGACCACAGCUUGGAAUAACACCAUGGGAAGAGUCAUCAGCCACAGAAACAAUACCACAUAAGGAAAACAAGCCUUCAUCAGAGAUGGAAAUCAUCAGUGGCCAUAUUAGUAACCACCCAGCUUACAGCAGGGAGCAUGUCCUUCGACAGUGAAACACACAGGGCUGUGCAAGUGCAACCCGGAGAGGGAUGAACAAGAUGGCAGAAAAAUAAAACUUUCUCCAUAGAACUGCCACAGCUCAGCUGCUGCUGCAGCAACUUGGACCUGGCAUCCAAGCUGGAAAGAGAUGAGAGAGGAAACAAGGUCCAAUGUGAGCAGAAGCCAGGUUCACAUCAGUCACUGUCUCUGUUCCACACAAACAAAUCCCAGCCUGUAGCUGAAAACCUGCAUCACUCACCCAACCCAAUUGCUCAGCUGCACCCUGAGCUGGGGCAGUGCUGCCUCCAAAGGCUGCACUGUCCUGUCCUACCUGUCAGGGUCUGGCCAAAGAUAACCUUUCCUGAAGGACAGCAGUGUUUUGAAACCUCAGACAGCUACUCAGUCUGCCCAGUGACCUUUACUGAGAGGCCUGUUGGGAGCAGAUAGGCAUUUAUGGAGACCUUGCACUGCAUUUCUCAGAAGCUGAAAUGUCCUGUAACACGAUUCAGCAUUCUUUAAAAUGCUGCCUCAGACUGCCUCGGUUAAGGGGAAGUAUUACUUCCCCCACGUUACUUGUAACCAAAACAAUGGACAUUAUUAUACCCUCUGCUGGCUCUGGGCUGUGCGAGUGGGAGAAGGCAAGUCACAAGUUUUACUAACUAGAUGGAUUGUUUGAUUGCCUCUUCAAAACAUCCCUAAAUCUGGAACGGCAAAGCUGCAGCCACAGCCAUCUUUUAAAUUUUGUGUUUCUGCAAAUGAGGAUUUAUCACUUGCACUGUUGGCAGAUGGAUGACUUGCCACCGAGUCACAGAGAGUUGCUCUUUUUUGCCUUGUUUGCCACUUGUUUCCCACAAAGGCACAGGAUGCUUUGUGUUUUAAAGUAUACCUCUGCCACUUGAUUUUUCAGGUGUGAUUAAGAGUUUUAAAAGAAAAAUAUAUAAAAACAAUGUGGGAAGCAAACAUACCAGCUGAAGACUUCUUCCUGCCCAGGUGUUGCACAAAGAAACCCUGGCUCCACCAAGCGACUCUACAUUAUGGAAGUAAAGGCCAUUUAUAACUUGGAAUUCUGAUUUUUUCACUGCAAAAGUGGACAGAUUCUUCCACUUGAGGUGGAAGUAUCACUUGGUUGAUUAGGUUUGGUUGGUUUUUUUUGGCACUUCUGCCUGAAAUGAUGAACUCUUUAAUCACCCUUUCCUAGGAUACAUUGUGAGUUUAUUUUCAUCUGCAUUUUCCCAUGAAAGAUGAAGAUUUAUCAGAUUACCAGCAGUCUGUAAUCACAACCACACAGUGCCUGAGGUGUGCUGCAGGUGCAGGGUAUAUGCAGAAUUCCCACACAUGCACACUCAGACACACACACACACCUGUCCCACCAACACCCAGAAAGAGUAUU
Long non-coding RNA from Passer domesticus (house sparrow), 2590 nucleotides. RefSeq lists it as uncharacterized. The transcript is spliced from 5 exons. NCBI's taxonomy places the organism in Eukaryota, Metazoa, Chordata, Aves, Passeriformes, Passeridae. The record is from RefSeq and is a predicted model, not a curated record.